Molecule: ribosomal RNA, 264 nt
Filed under: uncultured bacterium
Lineage: Bacteria
Description: partial 16S ribosomal RNA
Rfam family: Bacterial small subunit ribosomal RNA
Source: RNAcentral
CGGAGGGGCGUAGCGUUGUUCGGAAUUAACUGGGCGUAAAAGCGCACGUAGGCGGACCAGAAAGUUAGGGGGUGGAAAUACCCGGGGCGUCAAACCUCGGAACUGCCUUCAAAACUAAUUGGUCUGGAGUUCGAGAGAGGUGAGUGGAAUUCCGAGUGUAGAGGUGAAAUUACGUAGAUAUUCGGAGGAACACCAGUGGCGAAGGCGGCUCACUGGCUCGAUACUGACGCUGAGGUGCGAAAGCGUGGGGGAGCAAACAGGAUU